Cynoglossus semilaevis (tongue sole) is the source of this 1391-nucleotide long non-coding RNA. RefSeq lists it as uncharacterized. Lineage: Eukaryota; Metazoa; Chordata; Actinopteri; Pleuronectiformes; Cynoglossidae. The record is from RefSeq and is a predicted model, not a curated record. The transcript is spliced from 2 exons.
CCUUUCCUCAGUCCCCGCUGCAGCCUCACGUGUUCCUGACUUGUGCUGCACUCUGGGAAUCUGGCCAGGACUUUGUCCCCAUCUUUCCCCUUCGUGCUCUGUAAAUGUGUGAGUGAGGAAGAAGGAGGGGGAGGAAGAGGAGGAGGACGUCAGCACUGGAGCCCAAUGAGUCACAUUGUUCCUCAUUCCAACAAAUUUGAUGAAUCAACUUCACUGAAAGCUGAGGGUUGCUGGACUGGAACUGGAGCUGGUGUCACACUGACGCCACACCCUGGACGGUUUGGAUAAACCCAAAGACUUCCAUUCAAAUCACCUCACUGUGAACACACCAACUGCCUCAGGUCCAGCUUGCCUUUUUUUUACAUUGUUUUGUAAGAUUACCCACAAUGCAAAUCUCUCAAAAUCCCAUAGGCAAAGAGAGGUUUGUGGCUCGGAAGUAGAUUAGAAUAAAAACAAACAAAAAUAAUAGAGAAGGAGUUUUCCUUUAGGACUGAGCUUGUUGUAAAUUAAUGGAUGAAAUUUAGAUCUGUUACUAAAUCUACAAAUGUAGCUACAAAUGUGCUCAUUAUGAACGUACUUUAACUACAGUUUAACAUUUUCAUCAAAUAUACCAAAGUUCAUGCUGGUGUCAGAUUAGUUUCCGUUUGUGUAGAUCGUACUCUGACCGUUACUGCCUGCCAUAGUCCAGUACACAGACUUGGGCCUGUUUUACAGUGCACAAUAAUAAAUUAAUAAUAAACCUCCUGGUGCUGCAGGAGCUCGCUUUAAUAGAACACAUCGGAAAACACAAAGGUAUUGAAAUUCAGGUCAUGUUUAAAUUAGUAGAAAAUUAAUUUUCUCCCAAAGGGAAACAAAUACAGAUGGACAGUUCUUAGCCAGCAGGGUCUCCACCUGAUACUGGAGACCCCUAGUGACCCCGCCCCCUUUUUUCCCAUUGGUCUGUUUUUUUUUUCAUGGUCGGAUUCUGUUUCUACCUGAUAAAGAGGAUUAAAAUUGUUGCCCAAUAGAGGUGGAAACUAAAUCCUGGUCUGUUUCAGCACCGUCUGUCAUUUUGGCACAGCAUCAGUGGCAAUGUUCUGUUUUGGUUUUUUUGUCUUUUUUUUACAUCAUGUGGAAUCACUCGUACUGUGAAUUGGAAAUUUGUUUUUGCUUUUCAUAUCUUCAUGAAACUCUGGUUUGCUGAUGAGAAACUUUUGUUUUAGGAUUCUUCUUCUUCAAAAACAAAUAUAGAAAUAUAGUAAAAUAGACCGUGUGUUCCAGGAUGAUUGUUGAGGAUAUGCAUUUAUUUUUGUUAAAACUUUGAGAAUGUAAAGUUGUAAAGUUACAGGAAGGCACUUAUGAAAACAAGUUAAAUUAUAGCAAUUGUAAUAAACAUUAAAUAAGUGAUUGAA